Molecule: ribosomal RNA, 484 nt
Filed under: uncultured bacterium
Lineage: Bacteria
Description: partial 16S ribosomal RNA
Rfam family: Bacterial small subunit ribosomal RNA
Source: RNAcentral
AUUGAACGCUGGCGGCAUGCUUUACACAUGCAAGUCGAACGGUAACAGGGUGCUUGCACCGCUGACGAGUGGCGAACGGGUGAGUAAUGCAUCGGAAUGUACCGUGUAAUGGGGGAUAGCUCGGCGAAAGCCGGAUUAAUACCGCAUACGCCCUGAGGGGGAAAGUGGGGGACCGAAAGGCCUCACGUUAUACGAGCAGCCGAUGUCUGAUUAGCUAGUUGGUGAGGUAAAGGCUCACCAAGGCGUCGAUCAGUAGCGGGUCUGAGAGGAUGAUCCGCCACACUGGGACUGAGACACGGCCCAGACUCCUACGGGAGGCAGCAGUAGGGAAUUUUGGACAAUGGGCGCAAGCCUGAUCCAGCCAUGCCGCGUGUCUGAAGAAGGCCUUCGGGUUGUAAAGGACUUUUGUCCGGGAGCAAAUCCUAGUGGUUAAUAACCGCUGGGUCUGAGAGUACCGGAAGAAUAAGCACCGGCUAACUACGUG